RNAcentral lists this ribosomal RNA (253 nucleotides) under uncultured bacterium. Its description in RNAcentral is "partial 16S ribosomal RNA". It matches the Rfam family "Bacterial small subunit ribosomal RNA", at positions 524 to 776 of the family's 1533-position model. The record is from RNAcentral.
UACGGAGGGGGCAAGCGUUGUUCGGAAUUACUGGGCGUAAAGGGCUCGUAGGCGGCCAACUAAGUCAGACGUGAAAUCCCUCGGCUUAACCGGGGAACUGCGUCUGAUACUGGAUGGCUUGAGAUUGGGAGAGGGAUGCGGAAUUCCAGGUGUAGCGGUGAAAUGCGUAGAGAUCCGGAAGAACACCGGUGGCGAAGGCGGUCUGCUGGGGUAAUGCUGACACUGAUGCGCGACAGCGUGGGGAGCAAACAGG